CACACCGCCCGUCACACCAUGGGAGUUGUUUGGACCAGAAGUCGCUGUGCUAACCCGCAAGGGAGGUAAGCGCCUAAGGUCUGAAUAGCGACUGGGGUG
RNAcentral lists this ribosomal RNA (99 nucleotides) under uncultured bacterium. RNAcentral describes it as "partial 16S ribosomal RNA". It matches the Rfam family "Bacterial small subunit ribosomal RNA", at positions 1386 to 1482 of the family's 1533-position model. The record is from RNAcentral.